Molecule: unclassified non-coding RNA, 161 nt
Filed under: uncultured Crocicreas
Lineage: Eukaryota; Fungi; Ascomycota; Leotiomycetes; Helotiales; Helotiaceae
Description: sequence contains ITS1
Source: RNAcentral
CAGUGUUCCCUGCCCUCACGGGUAGAAACGCCCACCCUUGUGUAUUAUAUCUUUGUUGCUUUGGUAGGCCGCCCUCGGGCACCGGCUCUCGCUGGAUCGCGCCUGCCAGAGGAAACCCAAACUCUGAAUGUUAGUGUCGUCUGAGUACUAUCUAAUAGUUA